GCCCCUCACCUGAGCUUGCUCACCUGUGGGCCCCUCACCUGAGCUUGCUCCACCUGUGGGCCCCUCACCUGAGCUUGCUCCACCUGUGGGCCCCGUUGGUCAUGGUGAAGCCUCCCGUCUCCAGCUGCUGUAUGUGCAUGGCCAGCAGGUGGGCUGAGGGCAGGGUGGGCUGGGCCCUGAGGCGCCGUCCUUCCAUCAGACACAGGCUGUCGCUCUUCAGGAAGACCUGGGACCCAGACGGGCAUGGGGUGAGCAGGGACAAGGGGGCAUCCCUGGUGCCCAGCAGGGCUGGCCAGUGCCAUUUGGUGCAUGGGGCACCACACCCCAAUUUGCCAUCCAAUUCAAAAUGUCCCUUGGCUCCCGGGCUGGGGGUCCAGGCUCUGCAGCGUGUGGGCACAGGAGGAACACUGACUCCCCAGAAAGACAUGCGCUUCCUGCUGCUGAGGUGCUGGUUCCAGAAGCGCGCUGAGGAACACCCACCCUAAUGAGACAGCGCCAGGCCCCCGGCUGCUGUCAGCCGACGACACACGGGAGCCGUCCCACUGGCGGAGCUGAGCCUGGGCUGGAUGCAGGCUGCCCCUGGCGCCUCGGCCCGUCAGCCAGAGGCUGUGUCCUGGCCGACCGUCUCUCUCUCGAGGGGCAGUCAGGAGGCGGUGGGCUUGGAUACCCGCACCCCCAGCGGGAGUCAGACCCAUAAGGCACAGUCGGCAGGGAGGGCUCCUGGAGCACCNNNNNGGGAGGGCUCCUGGAGCACCCCUGCCUCUGCCCGUCCCACCACCCGUCACCCGCCGCCCCUGGGGGGAUGCGAGCUCCCGGGAGCUCACGCACACCGAUACCUCCACAGCUUUCAGCUCCUCCAUCACCUCUGCUAUCUUCGCGGGCAGAAUUCUCCAGGCCUAGAGUAAAAGCGCGGGUGAAACCCCGGCCCCGCGGGGCCCCCCUGCCCGGCCGCGUGGGGGACCCACCGCGCACUGGCGCACGGCCGCGUGCUCCAGGCCGCCCAGAAUCUGCAUGGCCGUGGCGAAGUUCCUCCGCUCGUAGCAAGACUUCGCGAUCAGCAGAAACUUGGAGAGCAGGGUCACUUGCAGCUGAAACCAGAGAACGAGACACUCGCAUCCCGAGCUCUGAGGGGUGCAGGGCAGGGCCGGCCUCGGGGUGGGUGGAGCAGGCGGCCCACAGGGACGGGCAUAGAGGCAGGCCAGGUGCUCACUGUCCCCUGGACAAACCUCGGCUCAGGAGAGACGGGGGCAGCGGGGCAC
RNAcentral lists this long non-coding RNA (1259 nucleotides) under Capra hircus (goat). Its description in RNAcentral is "lncRNA (ENSCHIG00010021146.1)". The record is from RNAcentral. Lineage: Eukaryota; Metazoa; Chordata; Mammalia; Artiodactyla; Bovidae.